This 84-nucleotide microRNA precursor is filed under the name Bombyx mori (domestic silkworm). RNAcentral's name for it is "mir-2807 microRNA precursor family". It matches the Rfam family "mir-2807 microRNA precursor family". Lineage: Eukaryota; Metazoa; Arthropoda; Insecta; Lepidoptera; Bombycidae. The record is from Rfam by way of RNAcentral.
UUAACUGAGAUUUGUAUGGAGUUGGCACGUUUGCCUACGUUUGCCGCUAGGGGCGCUGUUCCGACUGCAUACAAAUUUAAGUUA